RNAcentral lists this unclassified non-coding RNA (772 nucleotides) under Hevea brasiliensis (rubber tree). The record is from RNAcentral. Lineage: Eukaryota; Viridiplantae; Streptophyta; Magnoliopsida; Malpighiales; Euphorbiaceae.
AAACGAUUGAACUGAAGCUGAAUUUGGGCACUGUGAGAAGUGCAAAAUGAGUUUCUUUCUGAAGAUUUUGCACUGAGGGAUUAAUUUGGAGGUGUUCUUGGCUGUGGAAUGAAGAGAUGAGCCCAUGGGAUUACCAAGAGUAUCGUCGCAGCACAGCAAAUUGCCCUUGCUUUGCGUCACGAAGAUGGGUUCAGGCUUCUUCACAAAUGAUGGCAGGUCCUUCCUCUGUGCAAAAUGGCGUUGACAGCAUCUGUUGGUCUUCGGAUUCUUUGCAGAUGAUGAUGGCAAGGCUUUUGGGUCUCUCUUUGGUGUUAAAUGCAGCUGGGCAGCCACGGGUGGCUUUGGGAAGGAUGGAUCUUUGCUUCACGAUAAUAGAGCUGCUAGAUCUCUUCACGGACAGUGAUGAAGCACGGUGGGCUGAUGUCACCGAUUGGAAGCCAGCAUUGGGGCGCUGGUUGGGCUUCGGAUUUAAUGGCGGCUAGGUUGGGUCCAGUUCACUGAGCUGUCCAAUGACUGUGGGUACCCGUUGGGGCUCUUCUUUCUUGGUGAAGCUUCGUUGAUUGAAUUGCCCAAUUCUCACUAUUGCAAAUUGAUUUUUUGUUUUUUAUGGCAGUGAUGGUGGUGAUGACAGGACAAGAAGAGUGUGAUGACAAAAAGGAGGGGAAAAAGAAAUCCAUGGAGAAAGGAUAGAGGAGGCUGCACAAGCAAUUUCAGAGGAAGAGGGAAAUUUCUUGGAGUUUCUUGAAAUAGGAGAGAGAGACAGAGAGAAAAG